CCUACGGGCGGCAGCAGUCGAGAAUCAUUCACAAUGGGGGAAACCCUGAUGGUGCGACGCCGCGUGGGGGAAUGAAGGUCUUCGGAUUGUAAACCCCUGUCAUGUGGGAGCAAAUUAAAAAGAUAGUACCACAAGAGGAAGAGACGGCUAACUCUGUGCCAGCAGCCGCGGUAAUACAGAGGUCUCAAGCGUUGUUCGGAAUCACUGGGCGUAAGGCGUGCGUAGGCUGUUUCGUAAGUCGUGUGUGAAAGGCGCGGGCUCAACCCACGGACGGCACAUGAUACUGCGAGACUAGAGUAAUGGAGGGGGAACCGGAAUUCUCGGUGUAGCAGUGAAAUGCGUAGAUAUCGAGAGGAACACUCGUGGCGAAGGCGGGUUCCUGGACAUUAACUGACGCUGAGGCACGAAGGCCAGGGGAGCGAAAGGGAUUAGAUACCCCUGUAGUC
This 446-nucleotide ribosomal RNA is filed under the name uncultured bacterium. RNAcentral describes it as "partial 16S ribosomal RNA". It matches the Rfam family "Bacterial small subunit ribosomal RNA", at positions 338 to 795 of the family's 1533-position model. The record is from RNAcentral.